RNAcentral lists this ribosomal RNA (449 nucleotides) under uncultured Hydrogenedentota bacterium. RNAcentral describes it as "bacterial SSU rRNA". It matches the Rfam family "Bacterial small subunit ribosomal RNA", at positions 979 to 1425 of the family's 1533-position model. The record is from RNAcentral. Lineage: Bacteria; Pseudomonadati; Candidatus Hydrogenedentota.
GCUUGACAUCCCGGGAAUCCCGCCGAAAGGCGGGAGUGCCCUUCGGGGAGCCCGGAGACAGGUGUUGCAUGGCUGUCGUCAGCUCGUGUCGUGAGAUGUUGGGUUAAGUCCCGCAACGAGCGCAACCCUUGUCCCUAGUUACCAGCGGUUCGGCCGGGCACUCUAGGGAGACUGCCGGUGACAAGCCGGAGGAAGGUGGGGACGACGUCAAGUCAUCACGACCUUUAUGCCUGGGGCUACACACGUGCUACAAUGGCCGGUACAAAGGGUUGCGAACCCGCGAGGGGGAGCUAAUCUCAAAAAGCCGGUCUCAGUUCGGAUUGGAGUCUGCAACUUGACUCCAUGAAGCCGGAAUCGCUAGUAAUCGCGAAUCAGCUACGUCGCGGUGAAUACGUUCCCGGGCCUUGUACACACCGCCCGUCACAUGACCCGAGUCGGGUGCACCCGAA